AUCACAUCUGAGCACGAGACACGAGGAAAACAAACACAUGUCAGAAUGAAGCUUCUUCACAGAUGAGACAAAGGUUGAAAGAGUAAAGAAAGCGGCCACACUUUGAUUUAAAUGCGUAAAGAGCUGAGAAGAAAUCUGAAAUCAUUCUUCACAUCUGAUCGUGGUCUGCGGAGAAACACUGAAGGCUUCUGCCUGACAGGAGGACACACAGGUGAGCUUCAGCUCAGCAGAUGGAGAGUGGCUGAACUGGACCCGCACUGGUCUCACUGGGUUCACGGGAAGGCAGAAAGUGAAGAAGCAUCAAUGAAACUACGGGUGAAAUCUCUUCCCCCGAACAGGAGAGGUGCUGUGAAGACGCUUCAGCAGAAACACAGAUGAAAGGUUCAGACUUUCAAACGGACACAGUGAGAAACUAAAGCACCAGCAGGUGAGGUCAGUCCAGGUGAUCCAGGUGAAUCACCUGCUUCGUGUGGGGGGGCCACAAACUCACCUUGUUCCUGGGACGUGCCUGAGGCAGCGAACCGGACCGUCUGUGAAACCACCAUGGACAACUCUGAAGUCCCGUUCUGCACAGAGACCCUGAACACAACACACAGCAACACACGUUUGACACGUGAGUCACCUGCUUCUAACAUAAAUCCCAGAGUUCACAGGUCUUUGAUAUUUACCUUAUUUUCAUCAGCGAAGAGUUUCUGAGGCAAAUGAAGCUCCAGGAUGUCAUUUUUAGACGAAGUGUAUCCUGCAACGCAGACGGCUGCAAAACACAAGCGACUGUUUUACUGCACGAGUUUUUAAAGCUGAAACGAUCAAUCGAGUCCGAGUCGACUCAGUUGAUUUACUUUAUC
Molecule: long non-coding RNA, 845 nt
Organism: Toxotes jaculatrix (banded archerfish)
Lineage: Eukaryota; Metazoa; Chordata; Actinopteri; Toxotidae
Exons: 3
Source: RefSeq, a predicted model, not a curated record